Long non-coding RNA from Acanthochromis polyacanthus (spiny chromis), 824 nucleotides. RefSeq lists it as uncharacterized. The record is from RefSeq and is a predicted model, not a curated record. The transcript is spliced from 6 exons. NCBI's taxonomy places the organism in Eukaryota, Metazoa, Chordata, Actinopteri, Pomacentridae.
UUUUUAUGUGUUUCAAGGUGUGAGGACUUCAGUACUUUACAGACGGAUAUUGACAAGUGGAUGACUACAUCCCUCACAGCUCCUUGCAAAAGAGGUCCUGUCCCAUGCACUGAACGUGAGCAAGCAUGGUUUUGUAAAUGGACAGCCCUGUCUUCUACUAGUCUCAGUGAUACACAAAGACAAGCUCAGUCACAAGCUGCAUCCUACAAACUUACCACACCUGGUGACAAUUCUUGGUGGAAAGUACGAGCCAGCUGCAGUGACGUACCACCUGGGCACCAAAAACCACUUUGUGGCAUUCCACAAACUAGGUACUGAAAAAGGCUGGCAUUUUUUCGAUGCCCUUGAGGAACUUGUCAACCCUGGCAAGGGAGAUGUUGUCAUCAGUGACACAUUUAUGAGGAAGAAACUUCAGGCUAAGUGUAAUGUCAGCCACAUUCUCAGGGUCAGGGACAAAGGAGCAGAACCUGUAGAAACCAGGCGGCAAAAAAAUGAAGAGCUUGUAACCUUCAUUGUGGAUGACAGGUGCAGAUGAAAGGAUAAAGGCCAUUCUUUCCAGUGAUGAGAAGCCUCAAUUUUCUUUUAAAGAUCAGUGGGUCCCAAUCAUCUUAGACGAUGAUAAGCAGCUGGACAGAAUUGUGAGGUACCUGUCAGACCUUCUUGACAGCUGUGACACCCUGUCUUCCAAAGUCAACACCAUGGUGUCCUCGGACAGGAUCAAAUAUAUCCUGAAUGUAAUGCUGUCAGAGGCAACAGUACAGGCUCUUCAAGAGGUGAGAAAAAUGACAGUGACAGAAGCUGUGGGAGCAGUGGAACACGAUGGA